This 301-nucleotide ribosomal RNA is filed under the name uncultured bacterium. Its description in RNAcentral is "partial 16S ribosomal RNA". It matches the Rfam family "Bacterial small subunit ribosomal RNA", at positions 509 to 807 of the family's 1533-position model. The record is from RNAcentral.
CAGUCGCCACGGUAAUACGAAGGGUGCAAGCGUUAAUCGGAAUUACUGGGCGUAAAGCGCGCGUAGGCGGUUACUCAAGUCAGAGGUGAAAGCCCGGGGCUCAACCCCGGAACUGCCUUUGAAACUAGGUGACUAGAAUCUUGGAGAGGUCAGUGGAAUUCCGAGUGUAGAGGUGAAAUUCGUAGAUAUUCGGAAGAACACCAGUGGCGAAGGCGACUGACUGGACAAGUAUUGACGCUGAGGUGCGAAAGCGUGGGGAGCAAACAGGAUUAGAUACCCGGGUAGUCCCUGUCUCUUAUAC